GACGAACGCUGGCGGCGUGCCUAAUACGUGCAAGUCGAGCGGAAUGAUGAAGAAGCUUGCUUCUUCUGAUUUUAGCGGCGGACCGGGUGAGUAACACGUGGGCAACCUACCUUGUAGAUUGGGAUAACUCCGGGAAACCGGGGCUAAUACCGAAUAAUCCAUUUCGCUUCAUGGCGAGAUGUUGAAAGACGGUUUCGGCUGUCACUACAAGAUGGGCCCGCGGCGCAUUAGCUAGUUGGUAGGGUAAUGGCCUACCAAGGCGACGAUGCGUAGCCGACCUGAGAGGGUGAUCGGCCACACUGGGACUGAGACACGGCCCAGACUCCUACGGGAGGCAGCAGUAGGGAAUCUUCCACAAUGGACGAAAGUCUGAUGGAGCAACGCCGCGUGAGUGAAGAAGGUUUUCGGAUCGUAAAACUCUGUUGUAAGGGAAGAACACGUACGAGAGUAACUGCUCGUACCUUGACGGUACCUUAUUAGAAAGCCACGGCUAACUACGUG
RNAcentral lists this ribosomal RNA (501 nucleotides) under uncultured bacterium. RNAcentral's name for it is "bacterial SSU rRNA". It matches the Rfam family "Bacterial small subunit ribosomal RNA", at positions 28 to 507 of the family's 1533-position model. The record is from RNAcentral.